Molecule: long non-coding RNA, 412 nt
Filed under: Mytilus galloprovincialis (Mediterranean mussel)
Lineage: Eukaryota; Metazoa; Mollusca; Bivalvia; Mytilida; Mytilidae
Source: RNAcentral
UGGUUUUGAAUAUCUUUAUUUAUGCUUUCAACAUUGAUUAGAAAUAUUUAUAUGAGAACUUUUGUGUAAAAAUGAUACAGCAGUAAAAGAUAUAUUGAUAACACAAAAUUAUAACAUAACACUGUCAAACACUGCAGUCGAAAGACAACAAUUAUAUUGAUAAAACAUAGUAAUUAUAUAAGUGUUGUACACCAAUUGUAGGGCCUGGCAUUUUCUCAUAUCUAAGUCUAUUCCUUAUAUCGAUCUCAUAUCAGGUCAAUAAACCAAUGUCAAUGAAUAUGUUCAUAGCGAAAACAAAUAAUGGGUUUUAAGUUUUUGAUAAAAAUAAACGACGAAAAAGUUGCCAUAAAAUUUAUUUUCUCGCCUGAGUUUGUAAAAUUAGAAAGCGUUAUACAUGUAAUCCGUAAAAUCU